GCCUGGGUGGCUCAGUUGGUUAAGCGUCUGACUUCGGCUCAGGUCAUGAUCUCACAUUUCAUGGGUUCAAGCCUCGUGUCGGGCU
Molecule: non-coding RNA, 85 nt
Organism: Felis catus (domestic cat)
Lineage: Eukaryota; Metazoa; Chordata; Mammalia; Carnivora; Felidae
Source: Rfam